UGAGCCGUAUGAAGGGAAACUUUCACGUACGGUUCUUAGGGGAGAGGAUUGUGGCAACACAGCCCUUUUAC
RNAcentral lists this non-coding RNA (71 nucleotides) under Psychrobacter faecalis. The record is from RNAcentral. Lineage: Bacteria; Pseudomonadati; Pseudomonadota; Gammaproteobacteria; Moraxellales; Moraxellaceae.